Molecule: long non-coding RNA, 4447 nt
Organism: Cygnus olor (mute swan)
Lineage: Eukaryota; Metazoa; Chordata; Aves; Anseriformes; Anatidae
Exons: 3
Source: RefSeq, a predicted model, not a curated record
AAAAAAAAAGUUGUAAUAAACAUGUUUGUUUUUUUUUUUGGAUCAUGUGUCAUUAAAUAAUGCUUUUGCGCUUGUUUUUGAUAACUGUGGGAUUGCAGGAUGGAGACUGAAUGCCUGUUUAACUUUCUCCUCACUCAAGGGUAAGCCCAGCUUUCGUCUUGUGUUAUGAAGUCUGGCCAUGUAGAUAGCAGAAAAAUAAAAGUGAAAGUGUGACUUUAGAUACCAUAAGCAAGUUUUUGAAAAAAAUAACAACAAAACAAACAUCUUUUAAGCCACCAGGUCUCUUUGAAGGACACAGAUACGUUGCAUCUGAGAGAGUAAUUUUGCCAAAAACGCACAAGGAUCAGAAAAAGUUGACUUCAAAAAUAAAUAAAAGAAAGGGAACUCCACUAUCCAUUAAAAUAUUUUAAGCAUUUACAUUUACAGUGUUUCAUGAUAAAGUAACUUCAUUUUAGACAAAGGUAGGUAUAUCAUUGGGGCAAAGUAUUCACAGAUAAUUCCAGGCAGUUGACUUCAUAGGACUACAAGAACCCUUUCUGAAACCAGGCCAGCAAAAACAGGCAUUGGAAACUGUUUUUAUGAACAUGAAUGCUAGGUAGUUAAACAGAGUCAGGGCAGUGUCUUAUUACUCUUUCUUCAGAGCUUCUGUUAUAAAUUACUGCUUUAUUGUGGCUUACUAUCGUACUUGUUUGCAAUACCAUUUUUUUUCCUUAAAGAAAUAUGUCAUCAUCAUCUCUCACCUGUUCAUUGUAACUGCGUUUCUCAGCAUGUAUGCUAUAGCUUCUUGGCCUCAAUACCAUGUAUUCAGUUGUGUUGUCUUGUUUUCUAGAAUUUUUUAAAUGCUUAUAGUUUCAGCUUCACUAUGUUAUAUUUAGCAAUGCGUUACUAUGUGCUCUUACAAGACACCCAAAACAGCUCAUUGUCUUCUUGGUGUCAUGUGAUACCUUUUUAUUUUCAAGUGUGGUUUUCCGCUGUUGCAGGGACCUGUAUUACAUUGAUAUUGUUUAAUUUGUGUUUUUACAGGACUAGAGGGGAGCUGCUUUUCCUCUGAGUUUCAGGAAAACUAAAGAAAGCGUGGGAAACUGAGAUUGCAAAACUCUUGCCUUUUAGCUGGUUCUAGAAUGAAUCGUUCUUAGAAUCAUAAUUUUUUUAAAGGAAUAAUGUAAUGAUAGCUGAGUUCUUUAAGGAUGCAAGUGAAAGUAGGUUCUUCUUGUUGUUAUGGUGUUUUAUUUUUUAGUUGGACUUUUAUUAUUCCUUCUGCCAAAGUAUUGAGAUCUUAGCAUAUACCUGAUCAGUAUCAAUAUCUUGAUAUGUAUGAGGUCAUGCUGUAGAAAUGACUAAGAUUUUGAAUGUUUGGGGUGCUUUUUUGUAAGUCUUAAAUGCCUAUUUUUAUCUAGUUUAUAUGUUUUUUCCCCGAUUAAAGAUGUGGCUUACUAGAGGUUUUACAGGUUAUAACAUAAGGGAGACUUGCUUCUAAAGUUUUUGGACAUGUACUUGAAUCUCCCCCUGUACAAUGCAAAUAAAAAUGCUAAGCUGAAAGCUUUUAAAUGUAGAUGAAGUCAUGCUUCUUCGUCUGAGGCAUUCUUCCCAGUUAGCAAUAAGCCAUCGUCUGGCUUUUAUAAGAGAAGAAACACGCUUCAUCAUUUCUGGUAAAUCUUAAAAGUUGGUGUAAUUUUUGACACCAAUACUGUUAAGUAUUUAUUUUCAGAAGAAAGCCAGCCUGUCUGUGCCUUCCAUAGUUUGUGGCAGUAAAACUUGGGUUUGUUAAACUGAGUUUCUGGUGUUAGGGUGUCUGUGUGUUUCUUUCCUUUGCCUACAGUUCUAUUUACUGAUAUGUAGUUUUUAUGAAGACAUAUGUUAGGGCUACUUUUAUAGCUCUCUUUAUUAUCUGUAUUGAUGCUUCUUUUUUUUUCCCUGUCAUAAAGAAAGUCAAAAUCCUUUGAAAUUACAGCAGCAACAGCAUACCAUAGCUGUUGUGUAAUCUGUUGGCUAUAUCUGAAUCAGUCAGCACUUCCCGACAGAAUGCUAGCACUUACUUUAAAAUUUGUUUUCCAGUAUGUUAUUUGUGUGUAGAUAUUUUAAAUCAUUAGUUCAUACUAGGAUGCAAAUCUCUGCGAAGGGUGUCUCAGUUGCAAGAGACUAUGUGGAAGGCAGAUCUCCUGAUAAGGAAAUUUAUUUUAAUAAAUGAAGACUUUUAAUGAGGGGGGUGUGAGUUCUGCUCAUUACUCCACAGACUACCACAGAGAGGUAAUCGUUGUUUUAUCUGAUGCUUAAAAUGCUGACUUGCUUUACAAAGCUUAAUAAAAGUCAUAUGUGAUGAAUGGCGUUGCCAGUUCUGGGUUAACUUGGGCAAAAUUUAAAAUGGAUAACCAGAUGUACUUAGCUGUGAUGCUGAGUAAAUGUAAACAGGAUAAUAUAUUCUUUGAAAACCAAAUUAAUCUGUAACAGUAACAUUGACUGUGACCACAAUUUCACAACUGCUAAGCUGUUGAAAAAUCCUCCUGGUUGAAUAGGGAUAUAGAUGAUAUAAAAUCCAGUGUAAAUUUGGAGACAGUAAAUGGCACCAGAAAAGUUUAAAAUUUGUAUUGGUAAAUUUGAGAUUUAAGACUGGAUCAACAAUAGCAUCUGGUUGUAGUAAUUUCAAUCCAGUACUAAAAUUCAGUUUUACUUUAUCCCAAAACCUCAGUUGAUAAACAAAAAAAAAUCUGUCUUGAGUUAUAUUCUUUCCAUAUCUAUAUAUUCUUGGAAGUUACCUAUCCAAAGACCAGUCUUGUAUAAAAGUAGUAAUGCCUUCUGUGGCAAUAACUGUUCAGAUUUGCAAUGUAUGGGUUCUUAAUUCCGGCCAUUCACUUCUAAUCUUGUAAUGCCAGCCGUCUGCAGCAUCUGAGGUUACGAACAGGGAAGAUUCACGAUUUGUAGACAGGAGUGAAGAUGUUGAUAUCCUAUUAAAUUGCUGGCAGGUGUUUUUUUUUUUUUUCUCCCUUGACUACCUAUCCUGAAAAACAUAAUUGUAAUGAGCUCUGUCCUGACAAGACCUCAGUAGCAACAAGCUUUACUUGGAGUUGCCUUAAAAGAAAUCUCCCAGAGUUCAGCAACUGGAAAGCAUGGCACAAUGAGUUGUGAGCUGUAUUCUGAUGUGUUAUUUUUUGGAGAUGUACUUCUUUCUUCCUUCCCUCUUUCUAUCAACAACUGUUUCAAGUUAUUUCAUUAUUCUUUGAAGAUAGUAUCUAUUACUGCUGGCAUUUCAAUGACAUACAAGUGUUAAUCCUCUUCUGUUCUCAGUCUUAAUGGGUCAAUAAUUUAACAAGCUCACAUGAAUAUGACUUGGGUUUUGGUGGUUAAUAGUUUGAGAUUUUUUCAUAUUACUGUAGUGCAUUCUCUCCUUUCCCCCCAGCAAACUGCCUGUAAAGUCGGAAAUAAAGCAAGUGAUUUCAGAUGCAACACCAGAAUUUGGAACUCUUCAAAUUUACGUCAGCCAGGAAAUUAUAGUUUUGCAGAUGGAAAGCUUUCAGAAGGAAAUGGAAAGAUGAACCACAAGAGAUGUGGUAUAGGGGUCAAAGCACCAAGACACAGACAAAUAUUUUCAGUUACUAACCCAGGUCCUGCUUUUUUUCUUUUCUUAAGCUUAAGUAAAAUUUUAUGUCUGGACUUUAGAUUUAUUAAAAUGGAAAAGCAGUGUUGACUUGCUGUAAUGGAUUAUUUUGAGAAUUAAUAUUAAUCAAAAGAGGUUUUAAUGUUAUACUUACUAGUCAAAUUAUGCCAAAUAAUGCUUUUGAUAAUGUGUGAAUUUUAAAUGACAAUGUCAUUGAAACGACUACAUUUUGAGCAAGUUAAGUUGGCAGGAGGGAUCCUGUGUCCUUAUGAACCUGAGCUUUGUUUUAAAUGUAUAUUUUAAUUAUUACCAAUAAAACGUUAUUGCUUGACCAUGCAUUGUUGAGCUGUUCUUACAAUACCCAGUGUUACAAAGCUCGCAGUACUACGGAGGUAUAGAGGAUAGUGCUUUUCCACCAUUUUUUUUCCCCAUGGGCAGGUGUACAUGUUUGCAUUUUCUAGGUGUACAUGUUUGCGUUUUCUGUAUGGAGUAUCAGUACUGGUAAGUGUUAUCAUUGCAGCCUACUGCUACCAUUUGUCUAAUGAAAAAUGGUAGAAGGAGUUAAUUGAGCUCCUGAAAACUGUCUUUUCGAGCCCUGCUUGUCUUUCCCCCAUGGGAAGAUGGGCAAGAUGCAUGCUCUUGUUUGUGCCUCAAAUUCUGGAAGUUCCUGGUCAGGUUGCUACUAGCACUGAUUACCCCCAAGCAAGCAAUUUGUGUUUAGUUUAUGAGUGACUAAUGGGUUUGCAGAAGUUCUGAAUCCCUGAACGCAUGAGUUGCUUCAGCUCUCUCGACCUUUCCGCCAGAAGCGUCCCGGUAGGAUAAAGAAGGCUGGCAGCAGCGCUCUCCUUCCCUCCC